RNAcentral lists this ribosomal RNA (1509 nucleotides) under uncultured anaerobic ammonium-oxidizing bacterium. RNAcentral's name for it is "bacterial SSU rRNA". It matches the Rfam family "Bacterial small subunit ribosomal RNA". The record is from RNAcentral.
GACGAACGCUGGCGGCGUGCCUUAGACAUGCAAGUCGAACGGAGUAGCAAUACUCAGUGGCGAACGGCGGAGUAAUGCAUAAGCAACGUGCCCCAAAGACUGGGAUAGUCGAGGGAAACCACGGGUAAUACCAGAUGUGGUCCUUAGAUGGCAUCAUCGAGGGAUUAAAUCGAGCAAUCGGCUUUGGGAGCGGCUUAUGUCCUAUCAGCUUGUUGGUGAGGUAACGGCUCACCAAGGCUACGACGGGUAGGGGGUCUGAGAGGAUGAUCCCCCCGAGUGGGACUGCGACACGGCCCACACACCUACGGGUGGCAGCAGUUUGGAAUAUUGCACAAUGGGGGAAACCCUGAUGCAGCGACGCCGCGUGGAGGACGAAGGAUCUAGGUCUGUAAACUCCUUUUGCCAGGAAAGACUUAGGACGGUACCUGGCGAAUAAGCCCCGGCUAACUACGUGCCAGCAGCCGCGGUAAGACGUAGGGGGCGAGCGUUGUCCGGAUUUACUGGGCGUAAAGAGCGCGUAGGCGGCUAGUUAAGUGAGAAGUGAAAUCUCCAGGGCUCAACCCGGAAACUGCUUUUCAUACUGGCCAGCUGGAGGGACGCAGGGGUGACUGGAAUUUCCCGGUGUAGCGGUGAAAUGCAUUGAUAUCAUACUGCCCAGCUGGGAGGGACGGCAGGGGGUGACUGGAAUUCCCGGGGUAGCGGUGAAAUGCAUUGAUUUCGGGAGGACUCCAACAGCGAAGGGCAGGUCACUGGGCGUUUCCUGACGCUGAGGCGCGAAAGCGUGGGUAGCAAAACAGGAUUAGAUACCCUGGUAGUCCACGCCCUAAACGAUGGAUACUAGACGUAAGAGGUAUCGACCCCUCUUGUGUCGCAGCUAACGCAUUAAGUAUCCCGCCUGGGGAGUACGGCCGCAAGGUUGAAACUCAAAUGAAUUGACGGGGACCCGCACAAGCGGUGGAGCAUGUGGAUUAAUUCGAUACUAACCGAAGAACCUUACCCAGGUUUGACAUCGAUGGUAAGCCCGAGAGAUCGGGCCCUCUCUCACAAGGAGACCUGAAGACAGAUGUUGCAUGGCUGUCGUCAGCUCGUGCCGUGAGGUGUACGGUUAAGUCCGCCAACGAGCGCAACCCUCGUCCUAUGUUGCCAGCGAGUAAUGUCGGGAACUCAUAGGAGACCGCCGGUGUAAGCCGGAGGAAGGUGGGGAUGAUGUCAAGUCAGCAUGGCUCUUACGCCUGGGGCUUCACACAUGCUACAAUGGGCGCAACAAAGGGCACCGAAGCCGUGAGGUGGAGGCAAUCCCAAAAAUACGCCCCCAGUUCAGAUUGCAGUCUGCAACUCGACUGCAUGAAGGCGGAAUCGCUAGUAAACGCAGGUCAGCUAUACUGCGUUGAAUACGUUCCCGGGUCUUGUACACACCGCCCGUCAAGUCACCUGAAUUGUCUUCACCCGAAGUCCGUGGCCUAACCGUAAGGAGGGAGCGGCCGAAGGUGAGGGGAGUAAGGGGGACUA